RNAcentral lists this small RNA (4803 nucleotides) under Pongo abelii (Sumatran orangutan). Its description in RNAcentral is "retained intron". Lineage: Eukaryota; Metazoa; Chordata; Mammalia; Primates; Hominidae. The record is from RNAcentral.
UUUUGGAGUUCAUCCUUCAUACAGCUUAUUGUUGGGACUGUGCCCUCUACGUAAGCAGCACUAAAUUCAAAUCCUUGUUCCCUUCACCCGUUGAGACUGUUACUUUCUCUGUGGGCUCCAUUUUCUCGUGUCCUAGUUUGGAAAGUGCCCCCAGGCAGAAAGUCAGGGUAAAUAUAGCUCUUACCACCAUGUAUUUUCCUUCUUUUAAGAAUCACAGACUUAUGGUGUCUGUGGUGCAUUGCCUCCAAACAGUUGCUUUAGUUUGUACACAGACAAACAUGCAGACAUAUAUAUGUUUACAUGUAGAUAGUUGUUUAUACAGAAGGGUAAGUCCAAUUUCUGUUAUUUAAAAAUGGCCAGGUGUAGUGGCUCACAUCUGUAAUCCCAGCACCUUGGGAGGCUUAGGCGGGCAGAUCACCUGGGGUCAGGAACUCCUGAUGUCAGGAAACCUCAUGAGAUGGUGAAACCCCAUCUCUACUGAAAAUAGAAGAAUUAGCCAGGCGUGGUGGCAGGCACCUGUAGUCCCAGCUACUCGGGAGGCUGAGGCAAGAGAAUAGCUUGACUCUGGAGGUGGAGGUUGUAGUGAGCUGAGAUUGCGCCACUGCACUCCAGCCUGGGUGACAGAGUGUGAGACUCCAUCUCAAAAAAAAAAAAUAAUAAUAAUAUAUUAUUUUCACAUUUUAUGUAAUGUGAAAUGCAGCUCUAGACCUGCUUGCCAGUGUUUCUGGUUGUCACAAAAACAAACUUUAGCUCAUCUCUGUUUCAAAAGACUAAAGAGGUUCUUUAUGAGUUAUAGUAGUAGUUCUUGAAUUCAGAUGUUUUUUAAUUAUGUUAAGUAAGUCAUUAAUGACCAAGGACUUUUUAUUUUAGAUUAUUUUUUAAAGUAGAUACUAUAUUUUAUGGAAUGUCUUCUAAACUUUUAUUGAAAAAUUUAUGACAUACUGUUUUUGUUUAAUGUGAUGAAUUAUGUCAGUACUUUGUAUUUGCUUUUUACAAAUCUUGUUUUUAGGAAUAAGGACAACAGGAUCCUAUGUGAAAGUGCUUUUUAAAAAUAUUUUGUUUGCUACGAUUGUAUUUAGGAAUUUUGCAUCUCUAUGAUGCAAGUAUGAGUGUUUAAAAAAAUUUGGGGGGCUUUUAAUCACAUUAGAUUUUAGAAUUUUUUAAUUUUAAAUACUUUAUGAGGAAGUAAUAAACCCUCCUUUUCUAUGUUUGAGAAUAUUUUAUAGAAAAGAAGUUACUCUUUGGAUAUUUUGAAUAACUGAAGUCAGUAUGACUAGGCCAAAUAAAAUACAUAUUUAGCAAAAUAUAUCAGAUUACUGAACGCCAUUGUGACAUUUAAUUGAACAGAAGUCAUUUGUUCUUUUUAGAUAAUUUUUAGGUAGUUUUUCUUAGUUCAUCUCUGCCGUGAAGCUGUAGCUUAAACUGUCUCAAAACAGAGUCUACAGCGUAGAGAAAAUUGUUAAAGGUUUUACUUAGUCAAUUAUUUUUGAUGAAUUUUUUAAAAUCUCUUUUAUACAAAAAGAACUGCUUAAUUUCCUGAUUCCAAACAAGAAUUAAGUAGAGAUGUUAGGAAGAUCCCAGUUUGUUAUUUACUUUUGGUAAGCAUAACAAAGGGGUACUCUUGUAGUCAAAAAAUAACAUUUUUUGUCUUCUUUCCCCUCUUCUUUCUCCCUCCCCCGUCUCAUAUUCAAACUUGUCAUUACAUUUCUGAGAUCAACCCUUUGAGAUGUUGAGUUUGUACAUACCUGUUAUAUAUUUUGCAGUUGACAAAUUACAAUUUGAACCUCCUCUGAGAAAAGAAACAGAAGCACGAGAUGAAAUGGGAUUGUCAUCAGACCCAAAUUUCAUGUUACAGUGGAAUCCUUUUGUUGAUGGUGCAAAUACUGGCAAAUCAACCUCAAAACGUGCAAUACCACCUCCCCUGCCACCUAAGCCAAGGAUAAGCAGUUACCCUGAAGACAACUUUCCGGAUGAAGAAAAAGCAUCAACCAUAAAACAUUGUCCUGAUUCAGAGAACAGAGCUCCCCAAAUUCUCAGAAGACAGAGUAGCCCAAGUUGUGGGCCUGUGGCAGAGACUUCCUCUAUUGGAAAUGGUGAUGGUAUUUCAAAACUGAUGAGUGAAAAUACAGAAGGAUCAGCACAAGCACCACAGUUACCACGAAAAAAGGACAAACGAGACUUCCCUAAACCAGCCAUCAAUGGCCUUCCACCCACCCCAAAAGUUCUGAUGGGAGCAUGCUUUUCAAAAGUUUUUGAUGGCUGUCCUUUGAAAAUUAAUUGUGCAACAUCCUGGAUACAUCCUGAUACAAAAGAUCAGUACAUUAUUUUUGGAACUGAAGAUGGUAUUUACACACUGAAUCUCAAUGAGCUACAUGAGGCAACGAUGGAACAGUUAUUUCCACGGAAGUGUACUUGGCUGUAUGUUAUCAAUAAUACUUUAAUGUCAUUAUCAGUAGGAAAAACCUUUCAGCUCUACUCUCACAAUCUUAUAGCUUUGUUUGAACAUGCCAAAAAACCAGGAUUAGCUGCCCAUAUUCAAACUCACAGGUUUCCAGACCGAAUACUACCAAGAAAAUUCGCUUUAACAACAAAGAUUCCUGAUACAAAGGGCUGCCACAAAUGUUGCAUAGUCAGAAACCCUUACACGGGACAUAAAUACCUCUGUGGAGCUUUACAGUCUGGAAUUGUUUUACUUCAGUGGUAUGAGCCAAUGCAGAAAUUCAUGUUGAUAAAGCACUUUGAUUUUCCUUUGCCAAGUCCUUUGAAUGUUUUUGAAAUGCUGGUGAUACCAGAACAGGAAUACCCUAUGGUCUGUGUAGCUAUUAGCAAAGGCACUGAAUUGAAUCAGGUAGUUCAGUUUGAGACAAUCAAUUUGAACUCUGCAUCUUCAUGGUUUACAGAAAUUGGUGCAGGCAGCCAGCAGUUAGAUUCCAUUCAUGUAACACAGUUGGAGAGAGAUACCGUUUUAGUGUGUUUAGACAAAUUUGUAAAAAUUGUAAAUCUACAAGGAAAAUUAAAAUCAAGUAAGAAACUGGCCUCUGAGUUAAGUUUUGAUUUUCGCAUUGAAUCUGUAGUAUGCCUUCAAGACAGUGUGUUGGCUUUCUGGAAACAUGGGAUGCAGGGUAAAAGCUUCAAGUCAGAUGAGGUUACCCAGGAGAUUUCAGAUGAAACAAGAGUUUUCCGCUUAUUAGGAUCAGACAGGGUUGUCGUUUUGGAAAGUAGGCCAACAGAAAAUCCUACUGCACACAGCAAUCUCUACAUCUUGGCUGGACAUGAAAAUAGUUACUAAGCAACAGAAACUGAUCUCAAAUGACAGGAAAAUGAAUAUACUCCAUUGAAAGGAAAAAUAAGGAAAUUCAAUACAAACUGCACUAUGAUUUGCUUUAACUGUUAUGGGUUAUAUUGCAAAUGAUCUGUACUUUAGGGUAGAAUUCAAUAUUUUCUGCAGCUGGAAACAGCUAGUCUAUCUCUUGCCACUGUGUGGUGGUUAUAUCAAGUUUGCUUAAUAAAAGCUAUGAGACAAAUAGUCCUCUAGUUCCAGGAAACACAGUCUUUUUUAAAAAAAAAAAAUAAUGUUUGUAACAAGGGUGCCAUGGUGUUUUUAGAUAACUCGUGAUUAUCUUAAGAGAGGUAAAUUUAGUGAUCAUUUUAUACCAUGUCUUAUUCCUUCUUAAUGAACAUAAUUUGAUAAAUUCUCAAGCAAGGUUUUCACUUUUAUAUUGGCCAUUCUGUAUGUUUUUGUAAAAUAGAAUAUUUAAUCCUUAUUUAUUAAUCUCUUGCUGGAGUGGUGUAAUGUAUCUAACUUUUAGCAAAGGAGGGUUGCAGAGCAGCUUAAAUUUUUUUAUAAUGUAUAAGAAUUUUGUUUAUCUUUUAAGAGUAGUGAAGUACUUUGAGUGUUGGGGGUUCAACACACACAUGCAAUUUUGCUUAACAAAAGUAUUUUAUAAUACAGUUUCAUACAGAAUUACCUUAAAAGGGAGUCUUAUGUUUUCAACUACAGAUAGUUGUAAGGGAUCAUACAGAAGAUAUUGAUGAUAGUUGAAAUAUUCUUAGAAGGGGUGUGUAUGUCUAGGUGUGUCUACCAUGUGUAUGUAUUCUUGACAAGCAGUAUAAAAUACCUGUGAUUUUUCUUUACAUUAGGGAUAAUGCAUAAAGAAUUAAUCUUCAUAUAUAUUAUCAUCCCUAAUGUAGCAGGGGGAAGUAUUUAAUUGCCCAUAUGUAUUUUACUUAUACUAUGCCAGAGAGGAAACUAUAAAGUAAUUACACAUGUAAUCUUGGGUUUUUCACAUAUGUAGGUAUUCAUUUUGAGUAGUUUAAGAAAAAAAAAAUCUUUAAAUGAAUUGAAUUCCUGAUGGGAUAGUAUCAAUAAGUAUUUAAAAGCCAGUAUUCUAAAAAUAAUAAAGGGUAGGGUUAUUUUUGAGUUUGUUUUUCUUUUGCUAUUGUUAAUAUUCAAAAUUAAAGUGUUACAUUGGUACCUGUUGUCUUAAUGCAUUUAUUGAGAACAGCAUUGAGAUGAUGAACAAGGGGUUAGCAAUAGCAAACUCUAUAAUUAUUUUGACUAAUUACUUAAGAGGAAAACAGUAUAAGUAUCUCAUUCAGUAUUUAGCAAUUCUGUAAAAUAAGUAUUAUCUCUAUUUUUCAGAUGAGGAAAUAAGGGUUUAGCAAGGUUAAGAGACCUACCCAAUUUACACAGCAGGUUAGUAGUUGAGCCUGACCAUGAGUCUUCUGACUCUGUUCUUUUCACUGUGCAAUACGCAAACAAUAAAAUGUUAUACAAAUGGAAUAUAAAGUUAUUUAUUCUUU